AAAGCUUGGUUCUAGCUUUAACUUUAACUAUUCUUUAUCUGCCACAUGUAAGCCAAUAGACACCCCAGCAAAGAAAAGAAAAAGGUAUAAUUAAAACCUUAAUCUUCACAGAAUAAGUAAAAUACACAAACUAAUUUAAACCUUGCGAACCACAGUGCUUAACCUUACAAAAUCUGAGAAAUCAGGAAGUAGCUAAAAGAAAGAGAGGUGGUCAAUAACGUGCCAGCAACCGCGGUUACACGUUAACCUCCAGCUAAAGAAUCCGGUAAAAGAAGGGAAGGAAUACUAAUAACAACCAUUAUUAAGCUAUAAACCAGCAGUAAUAAGCUUAAACCAAUGAAAAAACAUGGCUACCCUACCCAAAAAGAAAGGACAUAAACUGGGAUUAGAUACCCCACUAUACCUUUCAGUAAAACAACAACACCAGAGCAGUACGGCUUACAAAGCUUAAACUUAAAGAACUUGGCGGUUUUCUAGAUCUUUUCGGAGGAGCUUGUCAUCAAAUAGAUAACCCACAAGAUACCUCACCAACCUUAGCAACUUCCAGUUUGUAUACCAUCGUCGUCAGCUCACUUCUAAAGAAUGUGAGCUCAAAGAAAUUCCUCUCCACGCCAGAUCAAGGUGCAACCAACAGGUUGGGGAUCGAUGAGCUACUUUAAUUAUCAACAGAGGACAUUAACCUGAAAACCUAAUCAAAAAAGGAUUCGACAGUAAUAAAAGUUAAACAAGAAUUUUAUGAAACAAGCUCUAGAAUACGCACACAUCGCCCGUCACUCUCGUCAACCGAGGAGAAAAGUCGUAACACAGUAGGUGUACCGGAAGGUGC
This 826-nucleotide non-coding RNA is filed under the name Acaudina molpadioides. Lineage: Eukaryota; Metazoa; Echinodermata; Holothuroidea; Molpadida; Caudinidae. The record is from RNAcentral.